UGGGGAAUUUUCCGCAAUGGGCGAAAGCCUGACGGAGCAAUGCCGCGUGGAGGUGGAUGGCCUACGGGUCGUCAACUUCUUUUCUCGGAGAAGAAACAAUGACGGUAUCUGAGGAAUAAGCAUCGGCUAACUCUGUGCCAG
RNAcentral lists this ribosomal RNA (141 nucleotides) under uncultured bacterium. RNAcentral's name for it is "partial 16S rRNA". It matches the Rfam family "Bacterial small subunit ribosomal RNA", at positions 355 to 511 of the family's 1533-position model. The record is from RNAcentral.